This 45-nucleotide non-coding RNA is filed under the name Trichobilharzia regenti. Lineage: Eukaryota; Metazoa; Platyhelminthes; Trematoda; Strigeidida; Schistosomatidae. The record is from RNAcentral.
AUCCAGAUGAUGAGAGCCAAAUAGGACGAAAUGCGCAUCCCGCAU